RNAcentral lists this ribosomal RNA (327 nucleotides) under uncultured eukaryote. RNAcentral describes it as "partial 18S ribosomal RNA". It matches the Rfam family "Eukaryotic small subunit ribosomal RNA", at positions 1470 to 1796 of the family's 1831-position model. The record is from RNAcentral.
CCCUUAGAUGUCCUGGGCUGCACGCGCGCUACACUGACGAAUGCAACGAGCUUAUAACCUUGGCCGAAAGGUCUGGGUAAUCUCCAAAUUUCGUCGUGAUGGGGAUAGAUUAUUGCAAUUAUUAAUCUUCAACGAGGAAUGCCUAGUAAGCGCAAGUCAUCAGCUUGCGUUGAUUACGUCCCUGCCCUUUGUACACACCGCCCGUCGCUCCUACCGAUUGAAUGGUCCGGUGAAGCGUUCGGACCGUGGCCUUUGGACGGUUCGCCGUCUGUUGGCUGCGGGAAGUUCGUUAAACCUUAUCAUUUAGAGGAAGGAGAAGUCGUAACA